This 72-nucleotide transfer RNA is filed under the name Modicella reniformis. It matches the Rfam family "tRNA". Rfam says of the family: Transfer RNA (tRNA) molecules are approximately 80 nucleotides in length. Their secondary structure includes four short double-helical elements and three loops (D, anti-codon, and T loops). Further hydrogen bonds mediate the characteristic L-shaped molecular structure. tRNAs have two regions of fundamental functional importance: the anti-codon, which is responsible for specific mRNA codon recognition, and the 3' end, to which the tRNAs corresponding amino acid is attached (by aminoacyl-tRNA synthetases). tRNAs cope with the degeneracy of the genetic code in two manners: having more than one tRNA (with a specific anti-codon) for a particular amino acid; and 'wobble' base-pairing, i.e. permitting non-standard base-pairing at the 3rd anti-codon position. Lineage: Eukaryota; Fungi; Mortierellomycota; Mortierellomycetes; Mortierellales; Mortierellaceae. The record is from Rfam by way of RNAcentral.
GCAGGAUUAGCUCAGUGGUAGAGCAGCCGACUGCAGAUCGGCAGGUCUCUGGUUCAAUCCCGGAAUUCUGCU